Molecule: non-coding RNA, 73 nt
Filed under: unclassified sequences
Description: 89-dG-II sequence
Rfam family: 2dG-II purine riboswitch aptamer
About the family: Purine riboswitch variant that recognize 2'-deoxyguanosine
Source: Rfam by way of RNAcentral
AGACCGUGUAGCUCCGCGGAUUUGGCGCGGGGGUAUCCACGAUCCCGCCAUGAACGGGAUGCGACCACGGGGA